AAGGAUCAUUAUCGAAUAAACUUGAACAGGCUGUUGCUGGUCCCAGGACGAUGUGCACGCUUGUCAUCUUUAUCAUUUCUCCCAACUGUGCACGUAUUGUAGACCCUGGAUGGAGAGGUUUUGGAUUCGUUCCGAGUGGGGACUGCUGUGCUUCCGAAGAGAGGUCGGCUUUCCCUUUUCAUCCUCCAGGUCUAUGUCAUUUUUGUUCACAACCUUCAUGUCUAGAAUGUCGAGUAAAGGUCCUUUUUUGUACCUAUAAAAAAGUUAUACAACUUUCAGCAACGGAUCUCUUGGCUCUC
This 299-nucleotide unclassified non-coding RNA is filed under the name uncultured fungus. Its description in RNAcentral is "partial contains 18S rRNA, ITS1, 5.8S rRNA, ITS2 and 28S rRNA". The record is from RNAcentral. Lineage: Eukaryota; Fungi.